GCAUGGUAACAUCACUUCUUCCUCAGGGGUGGAGUACAAGUCACAGAGCCUCCUUCAGGGUGGUGGCUAGCUACAUUCUCUGAGUAGUAGAGGAAGUAGAACAACCUGUGGUGCCAACUGAUACACCUGGUCCUGGCACCUUAUUAGCAGUGCCACCUCCCAUUGAGGACUACUAAUUCUCUUUGUUCCUGACUAUGAUGUGUUGCUGGGAUGAUGAAAGCAAUACACGACAAGCAAGAGGAGAAAGCUAGAAUCAUCCAUGAAAUUUGUAAUCAGAUAAGCCUGGAAUAUCUCGUAUCAUAUAGUGCUAAAAGGCAUGGAAGUUCUAAAAAAAGAAAAACCUCCAAAGUGAUUCAGGAACCAGCUGAAAUUUCUUGCUAUGGCCAAAGCUAGAACAAUUGGAGCAACACAAUUAAUAAAGCAUUAUCUAAGUAUAAAAUAAGUAUUCA
Molecule: long non-coding RNA, 449 nt
Filed under: Vulpes vulpes (red fox)
Lineage: Eukaryota; Metazoa; Chordata; Mammalia; Carnivora; Canidae
Description: lncRNA (ENSVVUG00000000066.1)
Source: RNAcentral